GAUGAACGCUGGCGGCGUGCCUAAUACAUGCAAGUCGAGCGAACAGAUGAGGAGCUUUCUCGUCUGACUUUAUCGGCGGACGGGUGAUGAACACGUGUUUAACCUACCUAUAAGACUGGGAUAACUUUGGGAAACCGUAUCUAAUGCCGGAUAAUAUAUUGAACUUGAUUGUUCAAUAGUUGAAGACGGUAUUUCUUUCACUUAUAGAUUGAUCCGGACCGCAUUAGCUAGUUGGUAGGGUAGAGGCUUACCAAGGCAACGAUGCUUACCCGACCUGAACGGGUCAUCGGACACCCUGUAACAGAGACACGGCACCGACUCCUACGCGAGGCCGCAGUAGAGACUCUUACGAAAUGGGGGAAAGGCUGACGGAGCAAAGCCGGGUGAGUGAUGAAGCUCUUCGGAUCGUAAAACUCUGUUAUUCGGGAAGAACAAAUGUGUAAGUAACUAUGAACGUAUUGACGGUACCUAAUCAGAAAGCCACGGCUAACUACGUG
This 497-nucleotide ribosomal RNA is filed under the name uncultured bacterium. RNAcentral's name for it is "partial 16S ribosomal RNA". It matches the Rfam family "Bacterial small subunit ribosomal RNA", at positions 28 to 507 of the family's 1533-position model. The record is from RNAcentral.